Molecule: ribosomal RNA, 817 nt
Filed under: uncultured crenarchaeote
Lineage: Archaea; Thermoproteati; Thermoproteota
Description: SSU rRNA
Rfam family: Archaeal small subunit ribosomal RNA
Source: RNAcentral
CCUGCCGGACCUGACUGCUAUCGGAUUGAUACUAAGCCAUGCGAGUCAUUGUAGCAAUACAAGGCAGACGGCUCAGUAACACGUAGUCAACCUACCCUAUGGACAAGAAUAAUCUCGGGAAACUGGGCAUAAUUCUUGAUAGAUCAUAAUGCCUGGAAUGGUUUAUGGUUAAAAUGAUUCGUCGCCAUAGGAUAGGACUGCGGCCUAUCAGCUUGUUGGUGAGGUAAUGGCCCACCAAGGCGAUUACAGGUACGGGCUCUGAGAGGAGAAGCCCGGAGAUGGGUACUGAGACACGGACCCAGGCCCUAUGGGGCGCAGCAGGCGAGAAAACUUUGCAAUGUGCGAAAGCACGACAAGGUUAAUCCGAGUGAUUUCUGCUAAAGAAAUCUUUUGCCAGUCAUAAAACCACUGGUGAAUAAGGGGUGGGCAAGUUCUGGUGUCAGCCGCCGCGGUAAAACCAGCACCUCGAGUGGUUAGGACGUUUAUUGGGCCUAAAGCAUCCGUAGCCGGUUUUAUUGGUCUUCUAUUAAAUCUAAUAGCUUAACUAUUUGACUGUAGGGGAUACCAUAAGACUAGGAGGCGGGAGAGGCGGACGGUAUUUUGUGGGUAGGGGUAAAAUCCUUUGAUCCAUAGAGGACCACCAGUGGCGAAGGCGGUCCGCCAGAACGCGCUCGACGGUGAGGGAUGAAAGCUGGGGGAGCGAACCGGAUUAGAUACCCGGGUAGUCCCAGCUGUAAACGAUGCAAGCUAGGUGGAUGGGAUGCUUUAAGGCAUCCCUGUGCCGCAGGGAAGCCGUUAAGCUUGCCGCCUGGGGAGU